GAUUAAUCAGGCAACAGAUGUGAGGUGCUGUCAUCACGUAAAAUGAUCACGUGUGCUGAAAUUUUCAUUUAAUGGGGCAAACAAUGAUGAAAACUUUUUUCAAACCAUACUUCGACACCAUAAAGCACUGGAUCGGCAUUACACCAUGAUCAGGACCAUGGCCUCCGUCUUUGUCUUUCUACUUUUUUGUUACUUGGCUCACGGGACAACUACACCACCUAGUAAUGGUUGUUUGUAUAAAGGAAAAAUCUAUGCAGCUGGAGAUGAAAUUCCCGAAAUGUCUGGUCAGGAUGGUGACUGGUGUUAUGGAGGUUACUGUGAAAAUUCGGGUGGAACUUUCUCCAUCGUCAACUGGGAUAAUUUCAAUUGCCCCCCGAAGUCGACUACAACCGGUAGCAGCUGAUAUGCAGGACCAGUUUUACAGAAGCUUACAACUAUAAAAUUUCGUUGAACUUUAUAUGAUUUGAAUUGGAACCAAAUUGUCAAGUGCUCUAGAGUUUGAAAUUAAAACACUAUUCAAUACAUUUCUGGUGAAAUAAUUAAAACUUGAACGAAUAAAACGCAUUGUUUUGAUGUUUGUUUUUUUUUAAAAAACAAAAGUCUUGAUCCAAAGGCAGUCUAUGGUGCAAAACAAAAUGUCAGUAUUUAACAUAAUACUUUUCUAUCUGUUUAUAAGUCGUUCACGGACAUGCAUUCUCAAACUAUUUUAAUUUGACGACCAAAGACUACAUGCACAAUGCAUAAUAGAAAUUAUGAAAGAAAUCAAUAAUAUUUUGUGCUUAUAUAAUUAUACUUACAUUUCCCCAGUUUUUGCCUUUGAUAUCUUUACAAAUUGUAAUAACAGCAAACACGAUGCAGGUAUAAAGAAUGCGCAUACAUCUUGAUAAAUAUUUAUCGACUGGAAAUCCCGACGAAAAUGAAAGUAGAAAGUAAAUAUGAGUUUUGGAAAUACAUGUACAUGUGGAUAUGAACUGCGACGCUUCAUGCCCGCAUAGGUCAUGAAGCGCGUUAAAUAUAUGUCAUGAAAUAUAAUUCAUUAAGAUACAUUAAUCUAGCAAGUUUUAUAAAAGGAAUCUCUAUAUAUUAGCAUUGCAUAGUGGAAAUAUAUUUCUUUCAGAAAACAUGAGACAUUUUAUUUUGAACUUCCCAUAAUUACAGGUACUUUCAUAAGAAUACUACAUGUAUCAACAUGCUUUUCCGUCAUCCGGGGUUUUGUCCAUUUAUUGUUUUUUUUAACAUUGACUUCUGACCUGUACAAUACAUGUAUCUAUUUGUAAUAACAAAAUGAACCUCGUGUACCAUUGUAUAUCUAUAGAGAAUGUAUUUUUCUUUCCAUCUGGUAUCUAAAUCCACGACCAUCACCAGAAUACCUCUCAGCUGUGUAUACCAAACAUUUCUAAUGCUAUACAAUCUAUUCAUAUAGACAUCAUCGUAUUGUCAGAAUAUAAUCAUUCAAAGGUAGAUUAAUAGUAACAGAUGACGAACACCUCUUAAGGUGCAGCAACAUGUUGAAGAAAAACUCCUUCAUUGCCAACGGAACAUAUAUUCAACGUGUUAUCAAUGAAAUUUAUUGAGCACUGUGGCAGUAUUUCUCUUUGUGCCGCGCUAUACCAAGGCGAUGAAAGUUCUCUUCUAUUUUGUGCUGUUGUCUUGUUACAUCUUGAACGGAAAUACGACGCCUGUUACGACAUCAAAGUCCCCUGGUUGUGAACAUAAUGGGAGCGUCUAUUCCCCGGGUGAGCAGAUUCCGGACUUGGGUGGUCAGGAAGGAAACCACUGUUUCGGCGCAUAUUGUGAAAACUCAGCUGGGACGUACAUCAUUAUGAACUGGGACAACUUUAACUGCCCUCAAGUCCAAACCGAGCAGCCGUUGAUGCAAUGACGAUAUGCCUGAUGGAAAUCUACAAGAAAAACACCCAACAAAUGUAGCAAGAUGAAAAUGUAAUAAACAAAAUUGGGAUAAAUGUU
Molecule: long non-coding RNA, 1968 nt
Organism: Ostrea edulis (European flat oyster)
Lineage: Eukaryota; Metazoa; Mollusca; Bivalvia; Ostreida; Ostreidae
Exons: 3
Source: RefSeq, a predicted model, not a curated record